Molecule: ribosomal RNA, 274 nt
Filed under: uncultured bacterium
Lineage: Bacteria
Description: partial 16S ribosomal RNA
Rfam family: Bacterial small subunit ribosomal RNA
Source: RNAcentral
AUACGGGGGGUGCAAGCGUUAAUCGGAAUUACUGGGCGUAAAGCGCGCGUAGGCGGCUUUGUAAGUCGGAUGUGAAAGCCCUGGGCUCAACCUGGGAAUUGCCUUCGAAACUGCACGGCUAGAGUCCGGUAGAGGGAGACGGAAUUCCCGGUGUAGCGGUGAAAUUCGUAGAUAUCCGGAGGAACACCAGUGGCGAAGGCGGCUUCCUGGCUCAAAAUUGACGCUGAGGCUCGAAAGCGUGGGGAGCAAACAGGAUUAGAUACCCCGGUAGUCC